Molecule: long non-coding RNA, 588 nt
Organism: Triticum dicoccoides
Lineage: Eukaryota; Viridiplantae; Streptophyta; Magnoliopsida; Poales; Poaceae
Exons: 2
Source: RefSeq, a predicted model, not a curated record
CCAUCGCAUCCCUUCAAGGAAUUCCAGCGCCUGAGAUUCCAUGCAUUGUUAUACCACCACCUCCAGCUUUUCCAAGUUUAGCCACUUCGUCUCCGAUCUGUUCUCCAUAAGUGCCCUCUGCCGGCGAACCAACAAAUGAUGUUGAAAAUAUGGAUAAUACAUUACGUGGAGCGGAAGAUGGAAUGUUUGGCCGCUUCUUUGAUGCAAAUGGUAAUGAUGCGAAUGGUGUUGCUGCUGGAACUUUCUCCCCACCUGGUGAUGAUUUACCUACAUUUUGAGAUAUACCUCGUCGUGGUGAAGGAGGUGGUCUGAACUUUUUUUUUUGAUUAAUUGGAAGCAAAUGGACAAUUAUCCUUUUGGCCAUGCACUUGGUUAAGGUUGUGAUAUUCUGGAUCAGUAACUCAUAUGAUGCAUGGUGUAUGUAUUCCACGCUACUAAUUGGCACCUAGGUAGAUGACAUUUUGUGAGUUCUAGGUACUGAGCUAGAUGCCAUCUUUUGUAAAGAGUGGUACUAUUAUGUAAACUCUUUGAUGUUGCUAUUUAUAAUAAUGGUGGUUGAAAUAUAUAUUUCAUGUGAUUGUUUUCUAA